UACGGGGGGGGCAAGCGUUGUUCGGAAUUACUGGGCGUAAAGGGCUCGUAGGUGGCCAACUAAGUCAGACGUGAAAUCCCUCGGCUUAACCGGGGAACUGCGUCUGAUACUGGAUGGCUUGAGUUUGGGAGAGGGAUGCGGAAUUCCAGGUGUAGCGGUGAAAUGCGUAGAUAUCUGGAGGAACACCGGUGGCGAAGGCGGCAUCCUGGACCAUAACUGACGCUGAGGCGCGAAAGCCAGGGGAGCAAACGGG
This 253-nucleotide ribosomal RNA is filed under the name uncultured bacterium. Its description in RNAcentral is "partial 16S ribosomal RNA". It matches the Rfam family "Bacterial small subunit ribosomal RNA", at positions 524 to 776 of the family's 1533-position model. The record is from RNAcentral.